Non-coding RNA from Calocera viscosa TUFC12733, 81 nucleotides. The record is from the annotation of a GenBank genome assembly. Lineage: Eukaryota; Fungi; Basidiomycota; Dacrymycetes; Dacrymycetales; Dacrymycetaceae.
GCCUCCUUGGCCAAAUGGUUACGGCGUCGCCUUCCUAGGAACUUCAGGCGAAGAUUGCGAGUUCGAUCCUCGCAGGAGGUU